RNAcentral lists this ribosomal RNA (253 nucleotides) under uncultured bacterium. RNAcentral's name for it is "partial 16S ribosomal RNA". It matches the Rfam family "Bacterial small subunit ribosomal RNA", at positions 524 to 776 of the family's 1533-position model. The record is from RNAcentral.
UACGGAGGGUGCGAGCGUUGUUCGGAAUUACUGGGCGUAAAGCGCGUGUAGGCGGCUCUUUAAGUCUGAUGUGAAAGCCCGGGGCUCACCCCCGGAAGUGCAUUGGAAACUGGAGAGCUGGAGUACCGGAGAGGAGGGUGGAAUUCCUGGUGUAGCGGUGAAAUGCGUAGAUAUCAGGAAGAACACCGGUGGCGAAGGCGGCCCUCUGGACGGAUACUGACGCUGAGACGCGAAAGCGUGGGGAGCAAACAGG